Molecule: ribosomal RNA, 683 nt
Filed under: Salmonella enterica subsp. enterica serovar Infantis
Lineage: Bacteria; Pseudomonadati; Pseudomonadota; Gammaproteobacteria; Enterobacterales; Enterobacteriaceae
Also listed under: 1 other name
Description: bacterial SSU rRNA
Rfam family: Bacterial small subunit ribosomal RNA
Source: RNAcentral
UUAAGUAGACCGCCUGGGGAGUACGGCCGCAAGGUUAAAACUCAAAUGAAUUGACGGGGGCCCGCACAAGCGGUGGAGCAUGUGGUUUAAUUCGAUGCAACGCGAAGAACCUUACCUGGUCUUGACAUCCACAGAAGAAUCCAGAGAUGGAUUUGUGCCUUCGGGAACUGUGAGACAGGUGCUGCAUGGCUGUCGUCAGCUCGUGUUGUGAAAUGUUGGGUUAAGUCCCGCAACGAGCGCAACCCUUAUCCUUUGUUGCCAGCGGUCCGGCCGGGAACUCAAAGGAGACUGCCAGUGAUAAACUGGAGGAAGGUGGGGAUGACGUCAAGUCAUCAUGGCCCUUACGACCAGGGCUACACACGUGCUACAAUGGCGCAUACAAAGAGAAGCGACCUCGCGAGAGCAAGCGGACCUCAUAAAGUGCGUCGUAGUCCGGAUUGGAGUCUGCAACUCGACUCCAUGAAGUCGGAAUCGCUAGUAAUCGUGGAUCAGAAUGCCACGGUGAAUACGUUCCCGGGCCUUGUACACACCGCCCGUCACACCAUGGGAGUGGGUUGCAAAAGAAGUAGGUAGCUUAACCUUCGGGAGGGCGCUUACCACUUUGUGAUUCAUGACUGGGGUGAAGUCGUAACAAGGUAACCGUAGGGGAACCUGCGGUUGGAUCACCUCCUUACCUUAAAGAA